AUUCAAAUUUCUUCCCUAUCAACUUUCGAUGUUUGGGUAUUGGCCAAACAUGGUUGCAACGGGUAACGGAGGGUUAGGGCUCGACCCCGGAGAAGGAGCCUGAGAAACGGCUACUACAUCCAAGGAAGGCAGCAGGCGCGCAAAUUACCCAAUCCCGACACGGGGAGGUAGUGACAAUAAAUACUGAUACAGGGCUCUUUUGGGUCUUGUAAUUGGAAUGAGUACAAUUUAAAUCCCUUAACGAGGAACAAUUGGAGGGCAAGUCUGGUGCCAGCAGCCGCGGUAAUUCCAGCUCCAAUAGCGUAUAUUAAAGUUGUUGUGGUUAAAAAGCUCGUAGUUGAACCUUGGGCCUGGCCGUCCGGUCCGCCUCACCGCGUGUACUGGCUCGGCCGGGCCUUUCCCUCUGUGGAACCCCAUGCCCUUCACUGGGCGUGGCGGGGAAACAGGACUUUUACUGUGAAAAAAUUAGAGUGCUCCAGGCAGGCCUAUGCUCGAAUACAUUAGCAUGGAAUAAUAGAAUAGGACGUGUGGUUUCUAUUUUGUUGGUUUCUAGGACCGCCGUAA
This 564-nucleotide ribosomal RNA is filed under the name uncultured eukaryote. RNAcentral's name for it is "SSU rRNA". It matches the Rfam family "Eukaryotic small subunit ribosomal RNA", at positions 297 to 865 of the family's 1831-position model. The record is from RNAcentral.